GUAAGGAAUAUUGGUCAAUGGACGAAAGUCUGAACCAGCCAUGCCGCGUGGAGGAUGAAGGUCCUCUGGAUUGUAAACUUCUUUUAUAUGGGACGAAAAUGGGGCUUUCUAGCUCAACUGACGGUACCAUAUGAAUAAGCACCGGCUAACUCCGUGCCAGCAGCCGCGGUAAUACGGAGGGUGCAAGCGUUAUCCGGAUUCACUGGGUUUAAAGGGUGCGUAGGUGGAUUGGUAAGUCAGAGGUGAAAUCUCCGGGCUCAACUCGGAAACUGCCUUUGAUACUAUCAAUCUUGAAUAUUGUGGAGGUUAGCGGAAUAUGCCAUGUAGCGGUGAAAUGCUUAGAUAUGACAUAGAACACCAAUUGCGAAGGCAGCUGGCUACACAUAUAUUGACACUGAGGCACGAAAGCGUGGGGAUCAAACAGGAUUAGAAACCCCUGUAGUCC
This 445-nucleotide ribosomal RNA is filed under the name uncultured bacterium. RNAcentral describes it as "partial 16S ribosomal RNA". It matches the Rfam family "Bacterial small subunit ribosomal RNA", at positions 354 to 796 of the family's 1533-position model. The record is from RNAcentral.